ACUCCAGCAUCAUCUCAGAUAGUUGCUGUAUAUGUUCAGGGACCACCCCUCCAGGAGCUUCAGAGCAAGGGACAGGUGACUGUCACCUGUCUUCUCGUUGGCCCUUCUCUUGAUGAUUUCUCCACCACCUGGAAAGUAGGUGGGAACAAAUAUUCUCUUAAUGUCCACACGGAGCAACCAGUGAGUCACAGCAAUGGGACGGAGUCUUUGCGGAGCUUCCUCAAAGUGUCAGCGGAGGAUUGGCAUGCAUAUAAACAAGUGUCUUGUGAGGGGAAGCACAGAUGUUCCAACCAGGGCUACCAGGACCAUAUAAGCAAAAGCAGAGACCUGUACCCACCAACAGUGAAAAUAUUACAACCAACUGCCUCUGAGCUGUCUACCUCAGACGUCCUCACACUUAUUUGUCUAGUUUCUGGAUUUUUCCCGUCUAACAUCAUGGUGUACUGGGAGGAGAAUGGCCAGAGACUCCCUUCAGCUCGCUACACCAACAGUCCUGCCUGGAAAUACACAGAGAGCAGCGCUUAUUCAAUGAGCAGCAGACUAAACACAUCCAAAACUGAGGACAAGGAGUCUACGUAUUCUUGUGUUGUCAGACAUGAGUCCUCUGAAACGCCGUUUGAAAGCACUAUAAAGGAUGUUUUUGCCACAGUGACCUACAGCCAACCUUCAGCCACCUUGCUCCAGGGCUCUGGUGAACUUGUGUGCCUGGUCUUCGGCUUCAGCCCUGCAUCUAUUAGCAUCACUUGGUUUUCUGGUAACACCAAGGAACUGUUGGACUACAACACUAGUGAACCCAUCAGAGGCCCAAAUGGAAAGUUCAGCAUCCAAAGCCACCUUCGUCUGUCCCAUGGCAACUGGUUCCCUGGGGCAGUCCUCACCUGCAGGGUGACACAUGAGAACACCACCCAAUCCCUGAAUAUAUCUAAACCAGGGACGUUGGAGGGCUGUCAUUUCUUAGAUGAGAUUAUGCAUACUGAUGUGAACCAAGACACAGAUGUGGAAAGCUGGUAUAUGACUUUCACUUUCCUCUUUUUAUUCCUCAUCUCUGUCAUCUAUGGUGUCUUGGCUACUGUGAUUAAGACUAAAUGAUGAUGACCCCAGGACAGAUUAAUGAGCCAAAUGGGAACAUUUGAGGAUUUUUGAUGGUCUUACUAGGUGUAAACUGUAAUUAAUGAAUUUUUCUUUUUACAUUUGUAUAAUAUUUUAGAAAUGAUUCAUACUGUAUUAAUUUCUUUUUAUGUUUCAGUCACUUUGAGAUUCAAAUACAAGUGUAACAAAUAUUCUGUCACUGGACUCAUUCAUGCAUUCAGCAAAAUACAGAUUUCAAUUUGGAAAACAAAGAUUGUCUCAUUAAUUACAAUAAAACAUAUGAUUGUACAUACUGAUGUAAAACUGACCUGUACGUAUUUAAGGUUUAAUGGACGGACUGGAGUGGGAUGCUACUAUCAGGGGGGAGAGUAAAAUGUCGAACCUUGGUUUUCACAGCUUUCAAUUUACACGUGGUAACUUACUUUAAUUUAGUUACACAUUCCGGUUUAAUGAAGAGCAUGGGUAGUAGUUAAAAUGCCUGAAGAAUCCCACAGAUUGACCUGUACAGCCUCUUUGGAUUCACAUUCAGCAGUUUGUAUAUGAGGUGGAUCAGACAGGCUCCUGGAAAACAACUGUGAGUUGCAUUAAUGAGCACGGCUAGUGGGUGACACCACCAAUACCAUCAAAAUCAUAAAAAUGAUUUCAGCUUGAAUAAUUGCAUUAAAAACUGAAUUUAAAUUGCUCAACUUGAAUUUGAAUUUAUUUAGUUUGAAACUGAAUUCCAAUAAACUUGAAACUGAAUGUGAUAUUAUGAAUCUAAACUGAAACUGUAUUUGAGCCUCAUUAAAAUUCAAGUCUUUGUGUGCUUUCA
This is a non-coding RNA of Micropterus dolomieu (smallmouth bass), 1900 nucleotides long. NCBI's taxonomy places the organism in Eukaryota, Metazoa, Chordata, Actinopteri, Centrarchiformes, Centrarchidae. The record is from the annotation of a RefSeq genome assembly.